CCAGAGAACUUUCCAGAGAUGGAUUGGUGCCUUCGGGAACUCUGAGACAGGUGCUGCAUGGCUGUCGUCAGCUCGUGUUGUGAAAUGUUGGGUUAAGUCCCGCAACGAGCGCAACCCUUAUCCUUUGUUGCCAGCGGUUAGGCCGGGAACUCAAAGGAGACUGCCAGUGAUAAACUAGAGGAAGGUGGGGAUGACGUCAAGUCAUCAUGGCCCUUACGAGUAGGGCUACACACGUGCUACAAUGGCGCAUACAAAGAGAAGCGACCUCGCGAGAGCAAGCGGACCUCAUAAAGUGCGUCGUAGUCCGGAUUGGAGUCUGCAACUCGACUCCAUGAAGUCGGAAUCGCUAGUAAUCGUGGAUCAGAAUGCCACGGUGAAUACGUUCCCGGGCCUUGUACACACCGCCCGUCACACCAUGGGAGUGGGUUGCAAAAGAAGUAGGUAGCUUAACCUUCGGGAGGGCGCUUACCACUUUGUGAUUCAUGACUGGGGUGAAGUCGUAACAAGGUAGGCGUAGUGCU
RNAcentral lists this ribosomal RNA (521 nucleotides) under uncultured bacterium. RNAcentral describes it as "bacterial SSU rRNA". It matches the Rfam family "Bacterial small subunit ribosomal RNA", at positions 988 to 1509 of the family's 1533-position model. The record is from RNAcentral.